RNAcentral lists this long non-coding RNA (783 nucleotides) under Homo sapiens (human). RNAcentral's name for it is "novel transcript". The record is from RNAcentral. Lineage: Eukaryota; Metazoa; Chordata; Mammalia; Primates; Hominidae.
UUAGGACUACUGAUUGUUUGGGGACAUCCGAAAUCACUCAGGAUUGUGGUGACCAGUUGAACAGAGAUAUGCCAAAAGCAGGCAGUGAUUUAUAUCCCUGCAGAAGGAGUCUCGCCCUGUCACCAGGCUGGAGUGCGAUGGUGCAAUCUCUGCUCACUGCAACUUCCACCUCCCGGGUUCAAAUUUCUCCUGCCUCAGCCUCCUAAGUGGCUGGGACUACAGGUGCCUGCCGCCAUGCCUGGCUAAUUUUUUGUAUUUUAGUAGAGAUGGGGUUUAGGCUGGUCUCGAACUCCUGAGCUCAGGCAAUCUGCCCUCCUGAGCUCAGGCAAUCUGCCUGCCUGGGCCUCCCAAAGUGCUAGGAUUACAGGCAUGAGCCACCGCCCUCAGCCACUAUCUUAUUUUUUAGCCUAUCUGAAUUAAAAACAUAAAGUCUUCUCUAUGUAUGUUGAUGAUAAACUUUGGGUUUCAAGGAAAAGAGUCACUCAGGCAACUUCCAAGAAUGGGAGGGGAGAAGGGGUUGUUAUAGGAUACAGUGGAAAUAAAUCUGGGAGGAAUCUCAAUCAUGUUCCAAGAGCUUGCAGGGGCCCAGAGAAAUUCUCACAAUGAGGCCUCACAGGAAAAGCAAGAACACCGACAGCAGGAAAGCUUGGAGGCUAAGAGUUCCCUUGGAAGUUGAACUACUGCCUGAGAAUAUUAAAACAAAAACAGAAACACGUAAAUAGCCAGCCCUGAAACGAGCCUCUCAACUUCUGAUAGGUUAUAUUUACAUUUAUGUACUUUCCU